AACGAACGCUGGCGGCAUGCCUAACACAUGCAAGUCGAACGAGACCGCCGGGUCUAGUUGCGCACGGGUGCGUAACGCCUGGGAACUUGCCCUUAGGUUCGGAACAAUUCCCCGUAAGGGGUGCUAAGACCGGUUAAUGUCAUCCCACCAAAGAGUUAUCGCUUUUGGCUGGGGCCGCGUUGGCUUAGCUAGUUGGUAGGGUAAAAGCCUACCAAGGCGACGAUCCAUGGCUGGUCGGAUACCAUGAUCAGGCACACUGGAACUGCGACACGGCCCAGUCUCCGACGCGGGGCAGGAGUGGGGAAUAUUGUGCGCUGGGGGAAGGCGUGAUCCAGCAAUGCCGCGUGAGUGAUGAAGGGCUUAGGAUUGUACAGCUGUUUUUCCCGGGAUGAUAAUGACGGUACCGGGAGAAUAAGCUCCGGCUAACUCCGUG
RNAcentral lists this ribosomal RNA (433 nucleotides) under uncultured bacterium. RNAcentral's name for it is "partial 16S ribosomal RNA". It matches the Rfam family "Bacterial small subunit ribosomal RNA", at positions 29 to 507 of the family's 1533-position model. The record is from RNAcentral.